GCAUUAACCCUGUUGUCUUAGAUAGUUUAUUACAAAACAUUUAAGGCACGCGGUGAAUGCCA
RNAcentral lists this microRNA precursor (62 nucleotides) under Schmidtea mediterranea. RNAcentral's name for it is "Sme-Mir-124-P34_pre stem-loop". The record is from RNAcentral. Lineage: Eukaryota; Metazoa; Platyhelminthes; Tricladida; Dugesiidae.